GGGUCAGUAGGUUGGUCGUGCCACCGGUACGUACUGGUCUCACUGAUUCCUCCUUCCUGAAGAACCGUAAUGCCAUUAAUUUGGUGUUGCGGGGAAACAGGACUGUUACUUUGAAAAAAUUAGAGUGUUUAAAGCAAGCUAACGCUUGAAUACAUUAGCAUGGAAUAAUGAAAUAGGACGAUCGAUCCUAUUUUUUUGGUUUCUAGGAUUGACGUA
This 216-nucleotide ribosomal RNA is filed under the name Glomeromycotina sp. RNAcentral's name for it is "partial small subunit ribosomal RNA". The stretch from base 40 to 216 matches the Rfam family "Eukaryotic small subunit ribosomal RNA", at positions 686 to 864 of the family's 1831-position model. The record is from RNAcentral. Lineage: Eukaryota; Fungi; Glomeromycota.